GGCAGGGAGCAGAGUUAAAAUACGCUCACGCCUGGAGAGCCUGUGGCCCGUAAGGGCCGCGUGGGUUCAAAUCCCACCCCCGGCGCCA
Molecule: transfer RNA, 88 nt
Filed under: Candidatus Bathyarchaeota archaeon
Lineage: Archaea; Thermoproteati; Candidatus Bathyarchaeota
Description: tRNA-Ser
Source: RNAcentral